CGAGAGAUCGAUAUAACAAUAACCAAGCUAAUUUUAGAUUAGACGGACUGACAGUCCGCCUACGAUGGUCGGUUGCCCUGAUGUUCCGCCAAAAACAGGGCUCAUAUCACCCAAUAAUGCCCCAAUCUCUACACAGAUGUACCCACACAAACAUGAACCACCAAAUCACGAUCACCGGAAAAUCACGCAACCUUCCUCUCCAUGCUGCAUUUGAUCCAAGACAACCUCUGAUUCUUUAUUUUUUUCCUUUUUGAAAUGAGAAAUAUCUGAACUUAGGGCAUGCUGCUUUUGAUCCAAGAAAAACUCACCCAAAUCUGUCCAUCAGGUGCACUCAGUCUUCUUUUAUUUGUUGAAGGAAGAAAUAAUCCAUCUCACUUUCUAUUUAUGUCAUCAUAUUCUAAAACUGAAUUGUGUUUCUUUUUUAUUUUUUUUAAAAGAGUAGGUUAAAGGUCUAUCUACGUAUGAAAUUAAGUGAAUAAAAUGCAUAAAAUAAACAAUUUAACAUACACGAAAACAGCAAAAAAACAUCUAACCACACAAUAAAAGCGACCAUAAACAAACACCUAUGACCUACCCACACAAUGCAAUGAAAGUGACCAUACAAUUGCAGUGACCAACACAACAUAGUGAGU
Molecule: long non-coding RNA, 632 nt
Filed under: Sorghum bicolor (sorghum)
Lineage: Eukaryota; Viridiplantae; Streptophyta; Magnoliopsida; Poales; Poaceae
Description: long non-coding RNA (SBIC_LNC013451)
Source: RNAcentral